Ictalurus furcatus (blue catfish) is the source of this 1647-nucleotide long non-coding RNA. RefSeq lists it as uncharacterized. The transcript is spliced from 4 exons. The record is from RefSeq and is a predicted model, not a curated record. Lineage: Eukaryota; Metazoa; Chordata; Actinopteri; Siluriformes; Ictaluridae.
UAAACUACGUCACUUAAUUAAACACUAAAAACAUUGUGAAGAGUAGCUACGACAAUCUACUUUUUCACAACAUGUAAUACUUUUUAGAGCGCACAUUUAAAAACUGCACGUUUACCCGUUUAACUCAUUUAAUUUACAUGGCAGAGGUUUGUACAGCCCACUUGGAGUUAAAGUCCCACCCACUUGGAGCUCCUCCCUCCGUUUAUACCUACAUUACAUUUACAUUUAUUCACUAAGCAGACGCUUUUAUCCAACGCGACUUACAAAUGAGAAAAAUACAAGCGAAAUACAAAAAUACCUGUCCCGUAACAGAGAGCAAUGACUCUUUAACCUGCAGAAGUGUGUGAUCAGAAACAGAUGACGGAUCAGUCAGAGGAAAAGCAGAUGGAUCCCGCCCUCCGUGAAGAGAAAAACAGAGUGAUUCAGGACAGUGCCAGAAAAAGUCACAGUAAAUGGAACCACAUGUGUGUACAUGCAGGUGUGGUGUGUGUGUUGAUGUUAGUGUGUGUGUUGACGUUAGUGUGUGUGUGGUGGUGUGGUGUGUUCUGCUGCAGCAGUGUGUCGAGCAGAGUGGUUCCUCUGAUCAGUGCUGCCUCUGUCCUCUCUUUCCUUAUCAGUGUGUUCCUCUAAACACACACAAAUGCACACAGCAACACAGCAGAGCUUCAAACAGUCCAUUAUCAUUCCUGUCUCAAAGAAACCCCAUAUUACCUCAGUGAUGAUCGCCCAGUCUCCCUGACCUCAGUUGUGAUGAAGUGCUUUGAAAGGCUGGUCAGGAACUUCAUCACCUCUUCAUUACCUGACACCCUGGACCCAUUACAGUUCACAUACCAUCCCACUCGCUGGACUGAGGACGCCAUCACACUCCUCCUACACACAGCCCUGAGCCAUCUGGACACCAGCGAGGGAAAUUAUUAACUCUAUUAUUAAAAAGUAACUCUAUAAUUCCCUCCAAACUCACCACCAAGUUGGAGGACCUGGGACUCAACCCGUCCCUGUGUCAACUUAUUUUCACAACAUCCUCUACCUCAGCCUGAUGUUGCAUAGCACAAACAACUACACAUUACUCAAAAUACAUUUGUACUGUUUCUGCCACUGAUCUGUGUUAUAUCGUAUGUUUAUUUUUAUAUUUCUCCUUUCCUACCUGUAUAGAAGUAAAUUAUGGUUUUUGUGUCAAAAAAAGCAUUUCACUGCACUUUGUAUUGGUUGUGGUUGUGUUUCAAUUUCUUCUUAAAGCUAGUUUACAAAAUAGCUGAGAGGAAUAUUGCUAAUUAAUUCCUGCUGUGUGUGUGUGUGUGUGUGUGUGUGUGUGUGUGAGAGAGAGAGAGAGAGAGAGAGAGAGAGAGAGAGAGACAGACAGGGAUUCUGGUUUAGGGUGUGCCCUGAAGGACUUGGGACAGGAGUUAGAUCCCCGCGUGGGGAAGAUCGACGUGAAGCAGUUCAUGAUGCUGCAGAUCAGCUUCAUCGGCUGGUCUGAGUCACACCGCUUGGUAUUAUGGGAUUACCUUCAGAUUUGUACAAAUAUGGGCACAAUGAAAGUUAUGAGGUGAGAUGCAGAGGGUGAAUAUCUUAUAGGAAAUGACUCAUGGAGUGUCUGAUAUUUUUGUACACUUUUCUGGCCACAAGCUUCAAAAUCCAAAAAGCAUC